CCAAAACUUAAGAUGCCAAUAUAAACUGCUGAGGGAUCUUCACUCUUGUCUCUUCUCUGAGGACACGAACACGGUGAACAGUGGGACUUGUCUUCAGCUUCAAGUGGAACAGCUCUGACCUGUAUGGUGAUCAGACCCGGAGAGGAGAGACACCUGGUCUAACAAGGUGACGGACGGUUGAAAGGGCGAAUCACCAAGACAAACAAGAUGAGCCAAGCAAUGGAGACGAGCCGCCACAGGAGCCUGAAGGGAAAGUAACGAGAGCAGCCAGGAGCUGAAAGUGUGGGCAGAGGAACCGGUUGCUGAGGACGAGUUGGACGACAAUUUCUUGAAUCGAAUCCUGAUUUCCUGUAAUCAAGUUUUGUGGACUGACAUGUUGCCUGAUUGGUGCUCAGCCCAGGACAGGAAGGCUCUGCAGCCGGUGAUCCAUCCAUCCACAGAGCAUCAGUGACAGAGGAGAGGUGAGGUGUCUGCUCAGAGCUCAAAGAAUACUGAAAGAGACUAAAGGAAAUAGAAGUAACCGCUGACGUAGACUCCCAAACAUCCUCAACAAAAUAGACUGCUUUGGUUUCUGUC
Molecule: long non-coding RNA, 576 nt
Filed under: Sparus aurata (gilthead seabream)
Lineage: Eukaryota; Metazoa; Chordata; Actinopteri; Spariformes; Sparidae
Description: lncRNA (ENSSAUG00010019676.1)
Source: RNAcentral